GUCAGCAGUCUCAUGUCGUCCUCGUGGCAUGGAUGUAUCGAGGUGUUCGCACACGCCGGAAGUCGAGAGUAUAUUAAUUUGUUGAAAAUAUUCUUUCACCAGGACGCUGUGUGAUUCCGAGAAAAAAGAUCUUCGGACAUUUCCGAUAUUUAUUUAUAUAUUUGUGCCCUUUGAUAUUACAAUCAUAAAAUCUAAAAUGAAAUUCACCUCCAAUUAUGAAUUCAAAAGUUAUGUGGCUUAACAAUUCAACAAUUAAGACAAGGACCAAAGGUUCUCAUAAGUCAAAGGAUCAGGCUAGAUCUUGUUAUAAUACGAACAUUGUUUUGGAAUGUACUAGAUCUACUCCAAAUCAAAUGAAUGUAUAAGCCACUGGAUAAUAAGUCCUGAGUCUAGUCUUUUUAUUUUCUAAUACGUUUAAUGGACUUCCUGAUUUGCCUUUGCAUUAUUGACGCCAACGCACAUGGAUACUGACACAUUUUUUUAACGAAUUUUUUUUUUUGCAAUGACUUUCAUUUUAAUUUGAAAAUGCUUGGUGGCUCCAUAGCUUGGCUUUAACAAAGUCUACGAUGUCUAGUACCAUUACGGCUUGUUGAAUAGUGAGUGGCUAAAGAUAAUUGAAAAAUAUCAUGGCGUAGGUGUCAACAGGACUGGCAUUUGUCAGACAUGACAGAGCCGAUUAUCUCCAGUGCCAACGAGACUACAGACCUGGAGUUUUUAAACCUUCACGACGCCUCAGCCUAUCGGUGGAUCUUGUGGGUCCAGACAGUUUUGGAACCGUUUAUUAUUACAUUAGGUAUAUCUGGUAACAUCCUGGCUACCAUCACGCUGCUGACCAAGGAGCUCAGAUCAACUUCCUGCUGCCUCUAUCUAACUGCCAAAUGCAUUGGGGACGCCGUGUUUCUGCUGUCUCUCUUUAUCGUCUGGCUCUAUCGAGUAGGUGUCCGAGUCAUUAACAACACUGGUAUA
Biomphalaria glabrata is the source of this 966-nucleotide long non-coding RNA. RefSeq lists it as uncharacterized. NCBI's taxonomy places the organism in Eukaryota, Metazoa, Mollusca, Gastropoda, Planorbidae. The record is from RefSeq and is a predicted model, not a curated record. The transcript is spliced from 3 exons.